RNAcentral lists this ribosomal RNA (447 nucleotides) under uncultured bacterium. RNAcentral's name for it is "SSU rRNA". It matches the Rfam family "Bacterial small subunit ribosomal RNA", at positions 26 to 518 of the family's 1533-position model. The record is from RNAcentral.
AGAACGAACGCUGGCGGCAGGCCUAAUACAUGCAAGUCGAGCGGGCGUAGCAAUACGUCAGCGGCGGACGGGUGAGUAACACGUGGGAACAUGCCCUUCGGUACGGAACAACUCAGGGAAACUUGAGCUAAUACCGUAUGAUCCGGCAACGGCAAAGAUUUAUCGCCGAGGGAUCGGCCCGCGUCCGAUUAGCUAGUUGGUGUGGUAAUGGCGCACCAAGGCGACGAUCGGUAGCUGGUCUGAGAGGAUGAUCAGCCACAUUGGGACUGAGACACGGCCCAAACUCCUACGGGAGGCAGCAGUGGGGAAUAUUGGACAAUGGGCGCAAGCCUGAUCCAGCCAUGCCGCGUGAGUGAUGAAGGCCUUAGGGUUGUAAAGCUCUUUCGCCCACGACGAUAAUGACGGUAGUGGGAGAAGAAGCCCGGCUAACUUCGCGCCAGCAGCCGC